UCGAGAAUUUUUGACAAUGGGGGAAACCCUGAUCGAGCGACGCCGCGUGGAGGAUGAAGGUCUUCGGAUUGUAAACUCCUGUCAUUGGGGAACAAUGCACAGAUAUUAACUGUAUUUGUGUUGAUAGUACCCGAAGAGGAAGGGACGGCUAACUCUGUGCCAGCAGCCGCGGUAAUACAGAGGUCUCAAGCGUUGUUCGGAUUCAUUGGGCGUAAAGGGUGCGUAGGCGGCGCGGUAAGUCGGGUGUGAAAUCUCGGAGCUUAACUCCGAAACUGCAUUCGAUACUGCCGUGCUUGAGUACUGGAGAGGAGACUGGAAUUUACGGUGUAGCGGUGAAAUGCGUAGAUAUCGUAAGGAAGACCAGUGGCGAAGGCGGGUCUCUGGACAGUUCCUGACGCUGAGGCACGAAGGUCAGGGGAGCAAACGGG
RNAcentral lists this ribosomal RNA (428 nucleotides) under bacterium. RNAcentral describes it as "partial 16S ribosomal RNA". It matches the Rfam family "Bacterial small subunit ribosomal RNA", at positions 355 to 776 of the family's 1533-position model. The record is from RNAcentral.